AGGAGAGAGAGGGAUUCGAACCCUCGAUAGUGAAACUAUACCGGUUUUCAAGACCGGAGCCAUCAACCACUCGGCCAUCUCUCC
Molecule: transfer RNA, 84 nt
Filed under: Heliophila collina
Lineage: Eukaryota; Viridiplantae; Streptophyta; Magnoliopsida; Brassicales; Brassicaceae
Description: tRNA-Ser
Source: RNAcentral